GCCCUGCAGAGCCGAGUGCCACAAAGCCCUCAGGAAAAGCAGAGCCUGCAGGAAUCCCAGGUGUUAACACGCAAUAAAAGCUGCCACGCUUGGCUGAGCCCGGCCCAGGCAGGCCUGACCUAAUGCAGAGCUGGUGGAGGUGGCAGGUAGCUGGGCCUGAAAAUGCAGGGCUAAGUAGAAGAAUUGGCACCUCUCGCUCAUGGCUGUUGGCUGGAGACCUCCAAAAGCAGAAUUUCCAGUGGUGGAUGAGAAGCGAGCUCUCACUUGGAGGAAACUGGAGCAGCUCUGCUUCCAGACCUGGAGAGCUCUGUGUGGGUGGAUUCCCUGGGCCGGGGGUGCUCAGUGCAAGAUCCCACACUCUGUAACUCAGCCGAGGGAGUGAACAGGGAAAGUCUCUGCCCCCGCAUCCAGCCUGCACAGUUAUAUAAGACUUGAACUACAUCCCCCUCUCCUCGCGGCCGCUCACAACGCGCUGGAGCCGCGGCCAGAUGCAGAAAGGUUCCGUCAGGAAAGUUUAACUCAGCGGGGAAGCUGCAGCCAGUGGAGGACACGAUUCUCUCGCUGAACUCUCCAAAAGCCUUGGAAAUCUUACAGUUGUGUCAUAUGCUGGUUUGGGGAAUGCUAGUCCGGAGGCAGCCGCCAGCCCUCUUUCACUUCUUUAUUUAUUUAUUUCUUUUUUUUUUUUUCGCGUUGCACUGAGUUUAAUUUGGGUAGCAGGAUUCAGCAGUUUUAAGUUGGAAAAAACUUAGUGGAAGAAGAUAUUUUAGGAAAAGCCUGUCAUGUGAACUAGCGGGAGCCGAUCAAACCGGGCUAUUAAAAGAAAGACAUUGUAUUUUUAAACGGUGCAGCCCAGGGCAGCCAACCUGCGUGCCCGGAGCCGCGGGCCGGGGCUGCUCCCCCGCGGCAGCUCCGCGUGGGAGGAGGCCGAGCUUUCCGUCGGGGUGGCCCGUUCUCCGCUCGCUCCCUCCGGGAUCCCCUUGGCCCCG
Molecule: long non-coding RNA, 986 nt
Organism: Passer domesticus (house sparrow)
Lineage: Eukaryota; Metazoa; Chordata; Aves; Passeriformes; Passeridae
Exons: 3
Source: RefSeq, a predicted model, not a curated record